Molecule: ribosomal RNA, 425 nt
Filed under: uncultured bacterium
Lineage: Bacteria
Description: partial 16S ribosomal RNA
Rfam family: Bacterial small subunit ribosomal RNA
Source: RNAcentral
GUGGGGAAUCUUGCGCAAUGGGCGAAAGCCUGACGCAGCCAUGCCGCGUGAAUGAUGAAGGUCUUAGGAUUGUAAAAUUCUUUCACCGGGGACGAUAAUGACGGUACCCGGAGAAGAAGCCCCGGCUAACUUCGUGCCAGCAGCCGCGGUAAUACGAAGGGGGCUAGCGUUGCUCGGAAUUACUGGGCGUAAAGGGCGCGUAGGCGGACAGUUUAGUCAGAGGUGAAAGCCCAGGGCUCAACCUUGGAAUUGCCUUUGAUACUGGCUGUCUUGAGUACGGGAGAGGUGAGUGGAACUCCGAGUGUAGAGGUGAAAUUCGUAGAUAUUCGGAAGAACACCAGUGUCGAAGGCGACUCACUGGCCCGUUACUGACGCUGAGGCGCGAAAGCGUGGGGAGCAAACAGGAUUAGAUACCCGAGUAGUCC